AGUUAAGAUACUCAGGGCAGAUAGUGGAUGCCUUGGCGACGGACGGCGAUGAAGGACGUAGUAAGCUGCGAUAAGCUUCGGGAAGCCGCUAAACAGGCUGUGAUCCGGAGAUCUCCGAAUAGGAAAACCCAGCCGAGCAAAUCUCGGCUAUGGUAGAGUGAACACAUAGCUCUAUCAAGCGAACGGGGGGAAGUGAAACAUCUCAGUACCCCUAGGAAAAGAAAUCAACCGAGAUUCCCUUAGUAGCGGCGAGCGAACGGGGAAGAGCCUAAACCCUAAUUGUGUCAAGCUUGCGGGCGUUGCAUUUAGGGUGUCGUGGGAUGCAAUUUGAGGUCGCCGCAAAUUCCUCAGGAAGUUACAAAACAUUAUGUUAGUUGAAGUAUCUGGAAAGUUACACCAUAGGGGGUGAUAGUCCCGUAAACGAAAACAUAAUGUCUUCCGUAUUGUAUUCCCGAGUACCCCGGACCACGNNAGUACCGUGAGGGAAAGGUGAAAAGAACCCCGGUGAGGGGAGUGAAAUAGAACCUGAAACUGUCUGCCUGCAAUCAGUGGAAGGGCUAUAUCUUCUUCGGAAGACAUGCCUGACCGCGUACCUUUUGCAUAAUGGGCCAGCGAGUUAUCUUCAGUGGCAAGGUUAAGCCGAUUAGGUGGAGCCGUAGCGAAAGCGAGUCUGAAUAGGGCGCAUAGUCGCUGGUGAUAGACCCGAAGCGAGUCGAUCUAUCCAUGACCAGGGUGAAGCAGAGAGAAAACCUCCGUGGAGGCCCGAACCGGUUAGGGUUGAAAACCUAUCGGAUGAGUUGUGGAUCGGAGUGAAAGGCUAAUCAAGACUCGUGAUAGCUGGUUCUCCCCGAAAUAUAUUUAGGUAUAGCCUCAUGUGAUGGCGUGUGGAGGUAGAGCACUGAAUGGACUAGGGGGUCGAAAGAUCUACCAAACCCAAUCAAACUCCGAAUGCCACAUUGCUUANNCCCAGAUCGUCAGCUAAGGCCCCUAAAUCCGGGCUAAGUGGGAAAGGAUGUGAAGUCGCAUUGACAGCCAGGAGGUAGGCCCAGAAGCAGCCACCCUUUAAAGAGUGCGUAACAGCCCACUGGUCGAUGCGGCUUCGCGCCGAAAAUGUAACGGGGCUCAAGCCCGGUGCCGAAGCUACGAGUUGUAUUUAUACAGCGGUAGGGGAGCGUUCUCAACGGGCUGAAGGAUUACCGUAAGGAGGUCUGGACUGUUGAGAAGUGAGAAUGCUGGCAUGAGUAGCGAUAAAGAUGGUGAGAAUCCAUCUCGCCGUAAACCUAAGGUUUCCUGGGGAAGGCUCGUCCUCCCAGGGUAAGUCGGGUCCUAAGGCGAGGCCGAAAGGCGUAGUCGAUGGAAAACAGGUUAAUAUUCCUGUACCACUCAAUUGGAGCGAAGUGGUGACGAAGAAGGGUAGAUCAGCCGGGUGAUGGAUUACCUGGUUCAAGCUUGUAGGGGGAAGAGAUAGGCAAAUCCGUUUCUUCUUAACCCCGAGAAGUGAGUACGAGGGGCAAUUCUGCCCCAUAAAGUGAUUGAUCCCAUGCUUCCAAGAAAAGCCUCGUAGUGUUGAUGAUUGAGUGCCCGUACCGUAAACGGACACACGUAGGUGAGUUGAGUAUACUAAGGCGCGUGAGAGAACUUUGGCUAAGGAACUCGGCAAAAUGGCCCCGUAACUUCGGAAUAAGGGGUGCCCACAUUAGGUGAAAGCCCUGCGGCUGGAGCUGAGGUGGGUCACAGCAAAGAGGCGGUGGCGACUGUUUACCAAAAACACAGGGCUCUGCAAAGGCGUAAGCCGACGUAUAGGGUCUGACACCUGCCCGGUGCCGGACGGUUAAAGGAAAGUGUUAUCCUUCGGGAGAAGCUCUGAACUGAAGCCCCGGUAAACGGCGGCCGUAACUAUAACGGUCCUAAGGUAGNNCUUGUCGGGUAAGUUCCGACCUGCAUGAAAGGUGUAACGAUUGCCGCGCUGUCUCGGCCAAAGACUCAGCGAAAUUGUGGUUCCGGUGAAGACGCCGGAUACCCGCUACGGGACGGAAAGACCCCGUGCACCUUUACUAUAACUUAGCACUGAGUUUUGGUGCUGCAUGCGUAGGAUAGGUGGGAGCCUAUGAAACUUUGCUUCCGGGCAGAGUGGAGGCAUCCGUGAAAUACCACCCUUGUAGUAUUAGAAUUCUAACUGCGGCCCGUUAUCCGGGUCCAGGACAAUGUUAGGCGGGUAGUUUGACUGGGGCGGUCGCCUCCUAAAGAGUAACGGAGGCGU
RNAcentral lists this ribosomal RNA (2260 nucleotides) under Gammaproteobacteria bacterium. RNAcentral describes it as "partial 23S ribosomal RNA". It matches the Rfam family "Bacterial large subunit ribosomal RNA", at positions 1 to 2309 of the family's 2925-position model. RNAcentral also lists the same sequence under 1 other name. The record is from RNAcentral. Lineage: Bacteria; Pseudomonadati; Pseudomonadota; Gammaproteobacteria.